CCGGGGKAUGGCCUUAKUAGCGGCGAGUGAAGCGGCMAAGCUCAAAUUUGAAAUCWGGUACUUUCAGUGCCCGAGUUGUAAUUUGAAGAAGGUAUCUUUGGGUCUGGCGCUUGUCUAUGUUUCUUGGAACAGAACGUCACAGAGGGUGAGAAUCCCGUGCGAAGAAAUGAUCCAGGCCUAUGUAAAGAUCCCUCGACCAUCCCAGUUGUUUGUUAACGCACUUUUUCAUGCGUGGUAAAUUCCUCCUUUCGCCAAAUAUUGRCGAGACAUGGACACCAAACAAGUAUCGGAAUAAAAGACUUUAGAACUUAUUUAAGAGAGUGAUAAAGUUGCUGUCAUUGAUGAAUCGACACGGCUUGAGAACUUACUUGAKAUUUUGUAUGUUACUUCUUCGGGGGUGGCCUCCCUCUGUAACGUUCUGUUCCCAGAUUGKACGGWAGCGCCAGACCCGAAGAUACCUUCUUCRCAUUACAUGUCGGGCACUGCCACUGCCRRAWUUGCMAUUUKAGCUUUUGCCSCUUCACUCRYMSCUACUAAGGCAAUCCCUGUUGSUUUCUUUUCCYCCGCUUUAWUGAUAUGCCCCA
Molecule: ribosomal RNA, 584 nt
Filed under: Candida maltosa
Lineage: Eukaryota; Fungi; Ascomycota; Pichiomycetes; Serinales; Debaryomycetaceae
Description: partial large subunit ribosomal RNA
Rfam family: Eukaryotic large subunit ribosomal RNA
Source: RNAcentral